GCCCGGGUGGCGGAAUAGGCAGACGCACGGGACUUAAAAUCCCGCGACCUUUACCGGUCGUGCCGGUUCGACCCCGGCCUCGGGCACCA
Molecule: transfer RNA, 89 nt
Filed under: Syntrophomonas sp.
Lineage: Bacteria; Bacillati; Bacillota; Clostridia; Eubacteriales; Syntrophomonadaceae
Also listed under: 2 other names
Description: tRNA-Leu
Rfam family: tRNA
About the family: Transfer RNA (tRNA) molecules are approximately 80 nucleotides in length. Their secondary structure includes four short double-helical elements and three loops (D, anti-codon, and T loops).
Source: RNAcentral